RNAcentral lists this ribosomal RNA (22 nucleotides) under Trichoderma harzianum. RNAcentral describes it as "partial 28S ribosomal RNA". Lineage: Eukaryota; Fungi; Ascomycota; Sordariomycetes; Hypocreales; Hypocreaceae. The record is from RNAcentral. RNAcentral also lists the same sequence under 4 other names.
GCUGAACUUAAGCAUAUCAAUA